CGCGCAGGCGGCUCUACAAGUCAGGCGUUAAAGACCCAGGCUCAACCUGGGGAAUGCGCUUGAUACUGUGGGGCUUGAGAUCGGAAGAGGAGAGUGGAAUUCCCAGUGUAGAGGUGAAAUUCGUAGAUAUUGGGAAGAACACCAGUGGCGAAGGCGGCUCUCUGGUCCGAUUCUGACGCUGAGGCGCGAAAGCGUGGGGAGCAAACAGGAUUAGAUACCCUGGUAGUCCACGCCGUAAACGAUGUGUGCUGGACGUUGGCAGGCCUAGCCUGUCGGUGUCGUAGCUAACGCGUUAAGCACACCGCCUGGGGAGUACGGCCGCAAGGUUAAA
Molecule: ribosomal RNA, 331 nt
Filed under: uncultured bacterium
Lineage: Bacteria
Description: bacterial SSU rRNA
Rfam family: Bacterial small subunit ribosomal RNA
Source: RNAcentral